This is a long non-coding RNA of Peromyscus eremicus (cactus mouse), 2681 nucleotides long. RefSeq lists it as uncharacterized. The record is from RefSeq and is a predicted model, not a curated record. The transcript is spliced from 2 exons. Lineage: Eukaryota; Metazoa; Chordata; Mammalia; Rodentia; Cricetidae.
GGGCAAAUUGGGAAAGGCUGGGCAAGAGCACCCAGCUACUGUGGGCAUCACUGCAGCUGUUGCACUGGCCACCACCCUGUAGCCCCUAGGUUCUGGCGUCAGAGGGGCCUUCACUGGGCACCCGCCCUCUGCAGCACCCCAUUCGGUCGGAGAAGCAUCCUGGCAGAGCGGAUAGGUGACCACCAAACCAGACUCAGCUACGCCCCGUGGUGCAUCAAGCACUGAAGGCUUCGAAGUGGCUGUGCAGACCGACCGACUCUGCCGUCUGCUGCCCGCCGAGUCCACUGGGGAACAGCUUACAGGGCUCGGAGAUUCUCCGUGGAUAGGACCGCUCCCACCUGGAAAGUUCCGCCGUUAGCGGUCGCUGAGGCCUCACUCUGCUCGCGCAUGGCAGUUGCUGGAGGAGCCGUCUCCCACUGGGGUCAGCAAGGAAGGCCAGGGAAGGAAGGAGAAAAAGAAAGGGGAGGGGUGCUGGCUUGAUUAAGAGCCUGAAAGACUGGAAUUCAACCAUCACCCUCCUCCCUAGUUUGAGGGUCAAACUCACUCCAGUUCUCUAGAAUUAGCCAAAGCAGUGAAUCUGGAAUGAUGGAAGGUCAAAGAUCACAGUUCCCUCUGGGGAUCCCUCCAAGGCAUAAUUCCUGCUGGGGAUCCUAAAUUGUCGGACUCAAGACGCAACUUGUAAGGGAGACCUCCCUCCCCUCAAAAGGAACUCGAAGCCAACAGUUCAUCCUCCAGCGACUUGAGGUUGCAACAUUUUCAAAGACAUCCUUUUUAAAAACAGAUUUCCACAGAUGGGCAUUUGCAGUUGGCUGACGAUGGGGUCAACAGCUACAGAAAACCACUUGGAGAAAUGGCUUCUGCGCAAGGCUGCCCCCUGCUCAGAAGGACCUUCCGGUGCUGAGGCCAACAGUUCAUCCUCAAAGGAAGUUAGUUACGUUGCAAUUUUUGAAAUUACCUCUUUUUCAAAGACUUUUUUUUUGAUGGGACAUUUGUAAAGGACCUGGCACUUUAGCGUCAAUGGCCAGAAGUAACCAGACAUGUGGGACAAUUUCUGAAGGACAAAUCCCCCCUCAAAAGGACCCCUUAGGAUGACUUCAAGACACUUGAGAUGAAACUUUUGAAAUGGAUGCCCUCCCAUCUACAGGAUCUCCUGUUGCUGAGGCCAAUGGUUAGGGACCAGGGCAUCUCCCGUUGACUGGAGGAUGGAACUUUUCUAAAAGACCUGAUGUUUGAACCGCAGGAACAAGGUGUCUUCAAGGGACCUGAUACAUAGGCCAGUGACUGCCUGCAUUGUGAUGUUGAAGAAAUAUUCCCAGCUGGAUAAUAACAACACAGCCGGUCUGGGGAGGGCUGGCCAGAAAAGAUGUGAAAGCUGAAGUCAUGGGGUACAUGGGGUACCCUACAAGACUUGUCUUCAAGACAGGAGGUCUUUGACUUUCACAAGAGUGCUACCCCAAUCAGAAUCACAACCUCAAAGCCCCCCAAUUAUUUGGGCAGAGAAAGAAUGUUCUAGAGGAGCCUGGAUCCCUCACCCUUUUACAUGGUGGUGUGGGCGUACCCAGAGUUCAAGAGUCGGGCCAUCAGAGCAAAGAGCUCGUUCAGCAAUACCAAGAGCGCCCAGCCUUCCAAUGUCUCCCAGCCCAGACCAUAAUGGCUCCAAGGCUAAGCCUGAGUCAAGCACCAGAGCGGAGGCUACAGAGACGGGCUCCAGGGGUCAUUAAGCUGUGGAGUCAGGGAGUCUUCUAGCACACCAUCAAAAUGAUGAAGGGACGAAGGUGGUGGAGCUCAGGGACUCUGAUGCCACAAGGCAGUGGCAUUUAGUUGCCCUGAUGUCUGUGCCAGGUGCCCCCACCAUCCUGAUCGAGCUCUGACCGGACGACAAGGCUUCCCUUGUGCUCUGGACAGGAAAGGUGAAUUCUCUCUGCUUCUCUAGUGUCAACUACUGUCACGCCUCUGUGUCACAGUGCUUGCCAAAAGGGAUCUCAAAUUCACUACCUUAAAUCUCUACCAUUCUUUCCCGGAGACUGCACCUCACCAGCUUUGAAAGACAUGAUUACUUUCAAGGCAAAGAUGCCCACCCAUCAUCCACUGACUGUCUGAUGCUUGGUUUCCAUGGAGAUUUUCAGAGCUACCCAACACAGGUGUUUUCUGAUCUUAUUGGGCAGCCCCCCUCUUUCUCAUAAGACAUUCGCUGCCCCACACCUCCAGCUUCUCAUCCAGGACCUUCUCACAGUCUCAGCUCUCCAGCGCUAAAGCCAACCCCGGCGCGCGCGUGUACGGAGACUCGGGAGUCUCAUUGCGUCAUGUCUUACUGGAGUUGCUCGGUGAGUCCUGCUCAUCGAAGCACUUCCUUUUAAGCAGGAGUCGCCCGCUGACAUGACUGGGUUGCUCCAGAUGGUGGGAGAGUCUUACUACCACUCCUCCUCCAUUAACAGGCUUCCUGUGGCCUCUUUGUGACAGCCCCGAGCCGGUGGCUGUAGUUAACUUUCUGUUGACGCCGGGACAGAAUUCUACAUGAUUCUCUUUGGCUGAAAACUCCAUGGUCCACGGACUUCCUCCUCUUUAGCAAACUUGGUUUGGUUUCUUCCUUGGUGACAGGCUCGAUUCCCUCAUUUUUUUCUCUCAAAGAAGGUCUUAUGUUGGAGGAAUUCGGCUAACGGAGCUUCUGCCCCUUUCUAUGA